This is a long non-coding RNA of Biomphalaria glabrata, 398 nucleotides long. RefSeq lists it as uncharacterized. Lineage: Eukaryota; Metazoa; Mollusca; Gastropoda; Planorbidae. The record is from RefSeq and is a predicted model, not a curated record. The transcript is spliced from 3 exons.
ACAAUUUCAUUGCACUGUAAGACACUGAAGCCGGAAUUGUAUUAUCUUUUGUCUUAAAUCUACUCUUAUUUAUCAUUCCUGCUUUACACAACAUCAGAAAUACUUUCAUCUCGCCCUUCAGUUUGGUUGAAGUGCUUCGGUCUAGCUAUCGUGCGCUUUACAUAAUUGUGCAUUUAAUUCAUUGUCUGUGAUGGGAUGCCCAGGAUGGCGUUUUUAUUCGUAUUAUUUAUUCUACAAAGUUUAAGUAUAUAUGUGAACGGUUGCAACACAACUUACACCGCUACUUCAGGGAACAUAACCAGCCCCAAUUAUCCUGAUCCUUACGGCACCAACCUCUACUGCACUUACGAACUGUACAGUCCAACUGGUGAAGUUGUGGAACUAUAUGUUGACUUCGU